Brassica oleracea var. oleracea is the source of this 853-nucleotide long non-coding RNA. RefSeq lists it as uncharacterized. The transcript has 3 exons. The record is from RefSeq and is a predicted model, not a curated record. NCBI's taxonomy places the organism in Eukaryota, Viridiplantae, Streptophyta, Magnoliopsida, Brassicales, Brassicaceae.
UCUCUCUCUCUCUCUCUUCUUCGGGUUUUUUUUUGUGUGAGAAAUUUCGUCAUCUCUCCUUCUCCAAAUCCAUCCAUGAAAUCAUCUUGAAGCAUCGGUUCCUAGAAUCAAAGCACGGAGAUGUUUCAAGGUAGAGACAAUAUGUGACAUCAAUGAAGAAAACGGAUUACUUUCUGCUUCUGGGUAUCAUCAUUCUCCUCUUCCUCUCUGGGUCUGUAGCUUCAGCUCCUUCAUCAACUUCACCAGCGAUGCUCCUACUACCUCGGACUCGGAGGGAUGUCUCGCCGCAAUUUCACAUCAAUCACUGGUAAUCCUCUGCAUGAAACAAUCUUCCAUUUAUUGUCAUCUGUGAUUCUUUUGUUUUCACUGCAGAGUCAGGUGUUAAAAAAACUUUGGAUUCCAUGGAUACAUGUGCAAACAUGUUCAUCUUGAGCAUGUCUGGAUAUAUGUGUUACACUUAUUUGGGUAUAUUUUUAUUAAUCAUUUUCCUUCGGCUCAUCGUUAUUUAUGCACUGGUGAGUCAUUUUCUUCUAUUUUGGAUACAUUCUGAACAUCAAUAGGGAACUCAUAGAGGUCUGGAAAUGUAUCCUCAUGAAUCGCAGCUCCUUGAGUGAGAUCUGUCGCAUUUCUGAGUUUUAGAAUAUUAAGCUUGACUAUUUCUUUUUUAUUAUAGUAGUCUGUUCAUGAUCCUGAACAUUUUGUGCAGGGCUGGUGAAUUUGACUCAAAUGGUUGAACUUCCAUCUCAAGAAAGGUGGCUACAAUUGGAAACUUUUCUUCAGAUACGAAGGUAUAUGGUUUUCCAAGUACCAACUAGAUUUAUACAUUUCUUUUAUAUUUGUUUAAAAAAUUUAA